CUCCAACUUGUCAAAUACGUAUUGAUCAAAUGUCUCUUUCACAGGGUUCCAUUUUCUACCCUCGAUUUGCUGCAUGGCCCUAUAGAACGCUGAUACCAGCGCUGAGCAGAUUUAACCAGCCGGCUCGACCCUGCAAGAAGGACAACGUCGUCCGUUGCUGCAUGCACUUCCGCCACCUUGUCCACGCGUUUUACCCACGCUUGUAGGUUUUCGUCGGGUCCGCCUCCAAACUCCGGAAUCUGCUUUGCAAUCCACGACACCUUGCUCCCAGCUGAAUGUUCUUGAUCUCUUGGUGGGAGGGGUGAUGUCCCGAUCGGCUGCAGCGGCGACGACUCUGCAAGAAACUUGCGGGAGUGAGCGGAAACCUCUGACCACAAUUGCAGGCGCACGUCUUUCCUGCAUGCAAAAAUUAAAAGAAAUUGGUAGUUCUACUGCAACAAAAAUGACUCGCAGAAUUAUGAGUACCUUGUUUACUUUAAAACUAUGUAUGAAAUAUACAUUAAAAAGAAAACGAAUACGUAACGGCAAUUUUGGUGAAUUAAGAAUCUGCAAAAUAAUAGAAAGCUGUAAUUAAAAAAGUGAAUAGUAAUCAAGCAGAGGUCCAAAAAAUUAUUGAGCAGUGGAUUCGAGCCAAAGAUACAAUUUUACGUAAUGAAGAGAGAGUAGUGUUAUGUUCUAGAAACACAGUUGACGAAGCAUUAACUUCAAAAAACAAUUAACUCCCGCGCAAAGCACGUUCAAGAAACAAUUAACGACAAAGACAAUUUUUUUGUUUUGAUAAAAAUUCGUUAAAGUUAUGGCGCGUAAAAAAGUUUCAGUGUUAACCGUAAAAUUAAGGCGGAUCAAGAGAGAGACCAAUUACAGUGAUUAGUAAAAUGAUUCACUCGCUUACUAAUCACUGUGAUUGGUUAAUUUGCCUUAUUUUCUCGGCUAAAUUUUUUUAUGUGUCAUAAUGUUACUUUCUUAGCCGUUUUAUUUUAAAAACAUAGGUUUGUUUUAAAAAUAUUACCUUAAAUUGUUACGAAGGUAAUAUAAUUAAAUAUGCUUUUAUUUUAAGUAGUAAUGUUUUCCUUUU
This is a long non-coding RNA of Monomorium pharaonis (pharaoh ant), 1075 nucleotides long. RefSeq lists it as uncharacterized. The transcript is spliced from 4 exons. Lineage: Eukaryota; Metazoa; Arthropoda; Insecta; Hymenoptera; Formicidae. The record is from RefSeq and is a predicted model, not a curated record.